Molecule: unclassified non-coding RNA, 277 nt
Filed under: sea anemone metagenome
Description: partial contains small subunit ribosomal RNA and internal transcribed spacer 1
Rfam family: Eukaryotic small subunit ribosomal RNA (bases 1-158)
Source: RNAcentral
GCUACUACCGAUUGAAUGGUUUAGUGAGGACUCCUGAUUGGCGCCGGCGCCCCGGCAACGGAGCAGCGGACUGCCGAAAAGUUGUUCAAACUUGAUCAUUUAGAGGAAGUAAAAGUCGUAACAAGGUUUCCGUAGGUGAACCUGCAGAAGGAUCAAGAACGGAAGAGCGUCGGGUAGGGAAAGAAGGUAGAGCUCGGUGGUGGCCGUAUCAUUAAAAAAACAAAAAGAAGUACAAGAGAAGCGUAAGACGAACAACUACAUCGAUGCAACGCAUCAU